This is a long non-coding RNA of Rhipicephalus sanguineus (brown dog tick), 1543 nucleotides long. RefSeq lists it as uncharacterized. NCBI's taxonomy places the organism in Eukaryota, Metazoa, Arthropoda, Arachnida, Ixodida, Ixodidae. The record is from RefSeq and is a predicted model, not a curated record. The transcript has 5 exons.
UUUGACUGUUCGCUGAUUCUUACUUUUAAUUAAUUAUUUUUCUUUUUUAUAUGCACCUAUCUUUUCCUUUCACUGUUUACUCACAUUCUGCGCGAAAAUAUCUGUCUUUGCGUCUCAUUCACCGUUCAUUGUAUUUUUGUUCUUGAAGUAACCGCUAUAAUUGUCAAUGAAUAUUUCAAUCAUUGUACUCAAACAUAACUGCGUGAAAAAUAAUGUUAAUAAACUAGAACGGAAACCCCGAAUCUCCUACAUGUUUGUUCUCUACGCCAGCAUGUGCCGUUCAGAAGAAGCUAACCGGCCCGCAUGGUCUCCAGAGUUUUCUUUUCUUCGUUUUACAAUUUAUCAGCGCCAUGUGUGGCCUACACAACGAGCUUUUACCGCAACUACAAAGCUUUAAACGAGAAACUCCUCAGGGCGCACCAGUGCUGGGCGCGCCAGCGAGCGCCGCGCCCUCUGCACGCUUCAUCGUAAGCUAUUCCCGCCUGGCAGGCUCGCUGCCUCGCUCACGACACUAGGCAAACCUUUCUAGCCACGAUAGUUCUGCGUUCGUGUGUGUGUCGUCGUGCCGAGUUUUGUUCAUACGGUCGACUUUUACCGCGCUGCCUCGCAUUGUGUGUUGUAUGUUGUGGUAAAGUGUUCUAGAAAGAUAGUUGUGGUUACUGACGUUAAGCGCAAGUUCGUCACGCAGUGUUAUACGCGGUAGCUGGUAAAUAGUCACCAGAUGCCGGCCGUGCGACUCCAGUCUGCGACUGCUUUGUUCAGUGUGACCGACGGAGGCGAUUCAUGGUUUUGAAAAACACGUUCUUCAAAUGUUUCCGCACGUCAGUAGGGUGCCUUGAUGCGCGUUUUGUCCGCUCACAUCGAGGCACAGUACACGGCAGUGAGUAGCAGCGCUGCAAUCCUUUCUCGACGACGCGUUCUGUGGCCUUGGAAAAUGCCUUGACGCUCGGGGACGGCCGGUAGCUCGGCGAUUCCUCGCUUGGCGCACCAUUGAAAACCGGCGGUCAUCCAGCAGUGUACGCUGCCAGCGUAUUUUUUAUUGCCAGAGGUAGCAAACAGCAGUGCCACGACAAACAGUGGAGUGCUGACCAUGCAGUCCAGAAGGUGGCUGAGGCAAGUAUGCUAUAGGAGGUGCUUAUUCAGGCAGAAGAAAUAAGCUUCUGUAGCCAACGUAAAGGAAGCAUCUUCAAAAAGCAGUGCUACAAGGAUGUGAGCAGCAGUUUCCCUUCAACGAACGGGUCAAAUUCAUGGAAGCCACAUGCCUGCUGCUUCUGGCCUACACAAACAUGCAGCCACCAUAGUAAAGUUCUUGCAAAGACAUUCUACACGAACUUGCCCAAAGGCAGAAGGAAGGCACGCACAGAUGGAUGCACAGAAAUCAUGGGGCUGCCGUAGAAGCUGUGAAUGAGCAUUAACCUGUGAACGUACAGAAAGGAGCGAAGUGGAGCUGUCCAUGGGCCGUGCACACAGUUUCAUAAGCAGGCUUGCAACACUUUUGACAAAUAUGUUCCUGAAUACAUCUGCCGAAGUGGCAUUUAAAGAA